This 844-nucleotide small RNA is filed under the name Talaromyces purpureogenus. Its description in RNAcentral is "LSU rRNA". It matches the Rfam family "Eukaryotic large subunit ribosomal RNA", at positions 76 to 938 of the family's 3401-position model. The record is from RNAcentral. Lineage: Eukaryota; Fungi; Ascomycota; Eurotiomycetes; Eurotiales; Trichocomaceae.
UGCCUCAGUAACGGCGAGUGAAGCGGCAAGAGCUCAAAUUUGAAAUCUGGCCCCUUUGGGGUCCGAGUUGUAAUUUGCAGAGGAUGCUUCGGGUGCGGUCCCCGUCUAAGUGCCCUGGAACGGGCCGUCAUAGAGGGUGAGAAUCCCGUCUGGGAUGGGCGGCCGUGCCCGUGUGAAGCUCCUUCGACGAGUCGAGUUGUUUGGGAAUGCAGCUCUAAGUGGGUGGUAAAUUUCAUCUAAAGCUAAAUACUGGCCGGAGACCGAUAGCGCACAAGUAGAGUGAUCGAAAGAUGAAAAGCACUUUGAAAAGAGAGUUAAACAGCACGUGAAAUUGUUGAAAGGGAAGCGUUGUCCACCAGACUCGCCCGGGGGGGCUCAGCCGGCACGUGUGCCGGUGUACUCCUCUCCGGGCGGGCCAGCAUCGGUUUGGGCGGCUGGUGAAAGGCCCCGGGAAUGUAACACCCUCCGGGGUGCCUUAUAGCCCGGGGUGCCAUGCGGCCAGCCUGGACCGAGGCCCGCGCUUCGGCGAGGAUGCUGGCGUAAUGGUGGUCAACGGCCCGUCUUGAAACACGGACCAAGGAGUCUAACAUCUAUGCGAGUGUUCGGGUGUCAAACCCGUCCGCGCAGUGAAAGCGAACGGAGGUGGGAGCCUUUCGGGGCGCACCAUCGACCGAUCCUGAUGUCUUCGGAUGGAUUUGAGUAAGAGCAUAGCUGUUGGGACCCGAAAGAUGGUGAACUAUGCCUGAAUAGGGCGAAGCCAGAGGAAACUCUGGUGGAGGCUCGCAGCGGUUCUGACGUGCAAAUCGAUCGUCAAAUUUGGGUAUAGGGGCGAAAGACUAAUCGA